Camelus dromedarius (Arabian camel) is the source of this 321-nucleotide long non-coding RNA. RefSeq lists it as uncharacterized. The transcript is spliced from 4 exons. The record is from RefSeq and is a predicted model, not a curated record. Lineage: Eukaryota; Metazoa; Chordata; Mammalia; Artiodactyla; Camelidae.
CUGGACCAUAAUGGAUCAGUAAUGAGUCAUUAGUGACUAAGGUUGUUCAGGGAAAAUAGGUGCUCUGACAGUGAGCCCACAGUGAGUUCCCUAGGGAGCUGUAUGAAGCCCGCUGCAGAGACAGCCUGCCUGAUGGUCAGAAAACUGCACAAACACGAGGAGCAGAAAAAGCAUCACACCCUUCAUUCCUCUGCACCAGCAGCCUCAGAAGUCAGCUAGCAACACUGAUGAAGGAUGAAGCUGAAAAUUCUCAGCUUCUAAUCAUGGUGUGGCCUUUCCGGUGACCAGUCCCCAUCCAGAGUCUCCUCCUCAGAGCAAAAA